GAGGCUUCUGAUUUAAGGUACCCGUUCUGAUAAGACUUGGCUAAGUAAUUGCACAUCCUUCACUGCCUGGCCUCAUAGAAAAUUGGGUACAUGUUAAACAUAAUAAUAAGAAAUAAAAAGAAAAUAUAACAAGAUUUAAGACGCCGUUUUAGUAGUUUUUAGGUGAUCAUCAACAGAAAAGAAGACAAACUGUUGAUGAUGCAGACCUUGAAUCAGUAGUUGCUCACUUGAACUCUAUGGAAGCAAUUGAAAUUAUCAAUAAUGAUGUUUAAUUUUUAAAUUCAGGUAUCCAAGCUUUGCUUACUUUGAUGUGACAACCCUCCAUUCUAAUUUCUGUUUGAGAGAACUUUUAUGAUCCUAUGGUUUAUUCAAGAAAUAAUUCCUUCAUGGGUAGGCAUUAUAUUUGUUAAUACUUUACACUGAGCGUCAGCAAGGGGUAAAAUUUGUUCAAACAUAAUACUUACCCACGUUAAUUAAAUUGAGCAUAGAGCAUGACAUGAAGGUAUUAUUACGAUUCAAAUAGGACAAAUACAGUAUUUUUAUAGGUCAUAGCGCACAAAUUACCUGAAAAAUGUUUGGUUGUUCUUGAUUCCUCCCCAUGGACUCUGUACAUUACAUUUUCAUAUUUUUAAGUUUAAAAACAAAAGGCAGGGUAAAUAUAUGUUGUUUGAUGCUAAAUAUAGAUAUUUUAUUAGAAUAACAAUGAAAAUAAUGA
RNAcentral lists this long non-coding RNA (715 nucleotides) under Mytilus galloprovincialis (Mediterranean mussel). Lineage: Eukaryota; Metazoa; Mollusca; Bivalvia; Mytilida; Mytilidae. The record is from RNAcentral.